UACGGAGGAUCCGAGCGUUAUCCGGAUUUAUUGGGUUUAAAGGGAGCGUAGGUGGACAGUUAAGUCAGUUGUGAAAGUUUGCGGCUCAACCGUAAAAUUGCAGUUGAUACUGGCUGUCUUGAGUACAGUAGAGGUGGGCGGAAUUCGUGGUGUAGCGGUGAAAUGCUUAGAUAUCACGAAGAACUCCGAUUGCGAAGGCAGCUCACUGGACUGCAACUGACACUGAUGCUCGAAAGUGUGGGUAUCAAACAGGAUUAGAUACCCGGGUAGUCC
Molecule: ribosomal RNA, 273 nt
Filed under: uncultured bacterium
Lineage: Bacteria
Description: partial 16S ribosomal RNA
Rfam family: Bacterial small subunit ribosomal RNA
Source: RNAcentral